CGCACGGGUGAGUAACACGUAUGGAACCUGCCCUAUGCAGGGGGAUAAGCGGAAGAAAUUCCGUCUAAUACCGCAUAACACCUUUAGGAGACAUCUUCUUGGGGGUCAAAGGAGGCGACUCCGGCAUAGGAUGGCCAUGCGUCGCAUUAGCUAGUCGGCGGGGUAACGGCCCACCGAGGCGACGAUGCGUAGGGGUUCUGAGAGGAAGGUCCCCCACACUGGUACUGAGACACGGACCAGACUCCUACGGAAGGCAGCAG
Molecule: ribosomal RNA, 260 nt
Filed under: uncultured bacterium
Lineage: Bacteria
Description: partial 16S ribosomal RNA
Rfam family: Bacterial small subunit ribosomal RNA
Source: RNAcentral